This 639-nucleotide small RNA is filed under the name Arabidopsis thaliana (thale cress). RNAcentral's name for it is "ATSL196700". Lineage: Eukaryota; Viridiplantae; Streptophyta; Magnoliopsida; Brassicales; Brassicaceae. The record is from RNAcentral.
UUCGAAUGAAGGCUUAACUUGUUUAAAAUAAUUUGUUCUUAGAGGAUUCAAAUUAAGAGCUAAACAACACUAACGCAUACAGAAUCUGAACUUUCACGCCAAUUCGAAUGAAGAAAACGAAAAAGAACUUAGAAAUGAGAAGGGUCCAGUGGAAACAUACCUCACCCUUUUGACCCACUACAAGCACAUCAUCAUCGUCGUCUUCAAUUGAAGCAGUCUUCGUCGUCUUGUCAGUCUCCGAUGUGGAUGAGACCGGUGGAGAGUAUAGGUCGAAGUGGAGGUCGAGAAACGAUUGAUUUCUUAAAUUUGGGGAUGAUUUUAUUAAAUUGGUUUAGAUGUGUUGGUUAAAUAUUGGUUUAGAGAUUUUAGUUGGUUUAAUUCAAUUUUACAAAAUUUGAUGGGUUAAUUGGGUAAACCACUAAAACCAUUAACCCAUUACAACCCAACUCAUUUUACUCAUCAAACCAAUUGACUCAUCAACUCAUUUGACCCAUCAACUCAUUUGAGUCAAAAAUUUCAACCCAUUAGGGUUCAUGGGUUGAAUUGAGUUGAGUUGACCCAUGAAUUUUGACCCAUUUUGACACCCCUACUUCUUCCCAACAUAAUUAAAAACUCUCUACAAGUUACAUAUAUUUUUUU